GUUAUGUUCUGGACAUCCCCUGAAGCGCGCCUUUCUAGGGGCUGUGGCCCUCCAGUGUGCCAGAUCUAGCCUGAGUUCAGAUGAGAAGGCCGAGGCUCACAGACGGGAGGUGAUAUGCCUGAAGUGGCCGAGGGGGGAUGGAAAGCCAGGCCAUAACCCCAGGGAAAUGUGAGAUCUUUGGUGAGGGGCCCCCACCCAACCUGAGGCUGUCCAAACAUGCUAGCUGCAUCUACUGAAGACACCCACUUCCUUGGGCUAAGGUGGGAGGGACAGAUAAGGCAGAACCACCCCUUCCUGAAGAAGCCUGCAGCUUGGCCCAGGCCCAGGGGAGGACGCUGGGGCCACCUGGCAGGGACCUCGAGUGCUUGUCAGUUUAUUCAGGUGAACACUCAAAAACACUGACGGGAAGCUGAAGGCACAGCAAGUGGGGACAGGGGCCUCCCUGCAGGGAGCCAGCCGAUGGUGGGGGCAAGACAAACAGGAGAGUUCACAAAUGAGGUGACCUCAGAUGGGGCCCAGUGUCAGAGCCAGAGCACAUGAGGUGAUGAGAUGGGGGUCUCUCCUGGAGAAGGCAACGUGAGCUGAAACCUCAUGUGCUAGGAGGAGCCGGCCACGGGGAAGGCCAAGGGAAGGGCACUUCUAGGCAGAGGGCAUGGCCUGGGCCAUACUGGGUCUGCAGGGCAUGAAGUGCAUUUUUUUGUUUGUUUGUUUGUUUUUGAGACAAGCUCUUGAUCCGUCACCCAGGCUGGAGUGCAGUGGUGCCAUCCUAACUCACUGCAGCCUUGACUCCUGGGCUCAAGUGAUCUUCCCGCCUUAGCCCAAGUUGCUGGGACCACAGACAGGUUUGGUUUUAUGUAGAAGGCAAAGGGGAGCCAUGGGCAGACUGAGAGCAAGGCUGGAGCAGGAAUGACAGAUGAAGAAAUGCUUGAGAACUGCCCAAGGUCACACU
Molecule: long non-coding RNA, 949 nt
Filed under: Homo sapiens (human)
Lineage: Eukaryota; Metazoa; Chordata; Mammalia; Primates; Hominidae
Description: HSALNT0256874
Source: RNAcentral